GUACAUUUCUUGUACUGUUUGCUACCUCCUGGAACGAUACAGAGAAGAUUAGCAUGGCCCGUGUGCAAGGAUGACACACAAAUUCAGGUUGAGGUUUUGUCCUGUUUU
This is a small nuclear RNA of Perognathus longimembris pacificus (Pacific pocket mouse), 108 nucleotides long. The record is from RefSeq and is a predicted model, not a curated record. NCBI's taxonomy places the organism in Eukaryota, Metazoa, Chordata, Mammalia, Rodentia, Heteromyidae.